CCUACGGGGGGCAGCAGUUCGGAAUAUUCGGCAAUGGACGAAAGUCUGACCGAGCGACGCCGCGUGCGGGAUGAAGGCCCUCUGGGUUGUAAACCGCUUUAGAAAGUGAGCAAACUAUCGGUUGCGAACAGCAGCCGGUACUGAGUUAAGCUUUUAAAUAAGCCCCCGCUAAUCACGUGCCAGCAGCGGCGGUAAUACGUGAGGGGCAAACGUUGUUCGGUGUCACUGGGCUUAAAGGGUGCGUAGGUGGUUGCGUAAGUAAGGUGUGAAAUCCC
RNAcentral lists this ribosomal RNA (275 nucleotides) under uncultured bacterium. Its description in RNAcentral is "partial 16S ribosomal RNA". It matches the Rfam family "Bacterial small subunit ribosomal RNA", at positions 338 to 603 of the family's 1533-position model. The record is from RNAcentral.